AUCAAUGUUAUGGCGGAUCGGUGUAUACUAACAAUGGAUUGACACAGAGAGGUUUAGCAUGGCCCCAGCACAAAGAUGACACAAAAACAAAAUAGGCUCAUUUCU
Small nuclear RNA from Esox lucius (northern pike), 105 nucleotides. Lineage: Eukaryota; Metazoa; Chordata; Actinopteri; Esociformes; Esocidae. The record is from Ensembl.